AGAAAGUUAGUCUAGCCAAGACAGCUGAUUUCGACUCAGCAAACCAUAGUCCACCCCUAUGACUUUCUU
This 69-nucleotide transfer RNA is filed under the name Hemiprocne comata. RNAcentral describes it as "tRNA-Arg". Lineage: Eukaryota; Metazoa; Chordata; Aves; Apodiformes; Apodidae. The record is from RNAcentral.